GGGGGUGAACAGGUAUCGACGAAAAUUGUUGAUGUAAUGACAUCAGGUCGAAGUUCGUCGAAGGCUUCGUAAAAAUUCGACUAAAAUUAAAUGACAAUUUUACUUUUUUAGCAAGUUGUUUUAAAAUUUUCGUUUUUUCAAUGUUCUCACAAAUUUUUUUCAAAAUGAGAAAAAAAAUCGAAAAUUUUGAAUUAAUGCAAGCAGCUAUUGUUUAAAAUAACAGUUUUAUAUUUGUAUUUUGAUUGUAAAAAUAGAUUUCUGUUAUUGUUUCAUAUUAGUUUAGAAUUUGGUGUUGAAAGAUAUGUAAAAAAUUAUUUAGUUAGUCUGAAACUACAUAAUUGUUAUAAUUUGAAUUUCAGAAUAAACCUGUAACUAUGUCUUACUGAAAUGUUUUCGGACGCGGGUUCGACUCCCGCCACCUCCAUUA
RNAcentral lists this transfer-messenger RNA (427 nucleotides) under Endomicrobium sp. It matches the Rfam family "transfer-messenger RNA". Rfam says of the family: Bacterial tmRNA, also known as 10Sa RNA or SsrA, is named for its dual tRNA and mRNA-like properties. Its role is to liberate the mRNA from a stalled ribosome. To accomplish this part of the tmRNA is used as a reading frame that ends in a translation stop signal. The record is from RNAcentral. Lineage: Bacteria; Pseudomonadati; Elusimicrobiota; Endomicrobiia; Endomicrobiales; Endomicrobiaceae.